CCUUCCUGUGGUUUUCGAACGUCUCUUCCUGGCUAAAGUCAUUGUGGAUUUCCUGACCUCUCCAAACAGACAGCUUAGGACCAUUAACUAUGUAGCUCCAUCUUUGAAAGAUCCAAUCUUUGUAUUCCCUUCUCUGCUUUCCAUAACUUUUUAAUAACAGAAACAUGUCACAACAGAAAUUGCGCCUGGUCUGGUACAGGCUGUGCUCUCCAUGGCACAUAUAUUACUGAGGCGGAGGUGGCUUUGCUUUGGCUUGACACAAACCCAAUCAGGGUAUGAAACUCUGAAAAUAUUCGUCUUUAUCUGCAGCCUCACAGUUGUUAGGGAAGUGGGAAUGAUAUUGAUGGGUAUAUAUCUCCUUGUAGUCCACACCAAAGAGGAAGAGAGAGAAACCCUUGACAUUUAUCUCUUAAACAAGACAUGUGAGCAGCCAAAUGCCAUUUGACAGGACAAAUAUUUACUGCGGCUGCAAACAGCCCUGAACAUCGGUGCAGAAAACUCCAAGACUCUGAGCCAAGCUGAUCAGCAUUCAACGGAGAUACCAGGUCCCAAGUGCUAGGGAUUAAGAGCACCAUUUAACACUGAGCUCUGGACAAGAUUUGUCCUGUUGGCCCUGUAUCCCAACUGGGCAUUUUGUUUUCAUUUCCUGGAUUCUCCAUGGACUCAUGUUCUUCAGGGUGAGUGGCUGUGAGCCCUUUUCAUUCUCCUAAACUCUGAUCUCCCGGCUGAUCUUUCACAGAGCAGUCAGCUGGAUUGCAGGGUUCUUGCUAGUUCUCCUCCAAAAAAGAAAAUUGGAUUCCUGAAGGCCCACAGGAGCAUCACUGCUAAUAGCAGGCAUCGAGAAGAGAGACCCAUCUAGAGACCCUGGCGAGAAAAAGCUUGAAGGCAGUUUUUUGCAACAGUGUCAGCAGCAGACCACAUUUGGGGUGGGGGGGAUUUCCACUAACAAGCUUGACGGUGGAGAAGCUCUGCUUACUUCAGCAGCAUUAUUUUUUUAGACAGAAGUGUCUGAUUAAGAACCUUGUAGGGUGAUGGCGUUUAAUUGACACUGGCCACAAAGGCAUCUGAGAGGCUUUAUCUUCUGCCUUUCAUUUGCGAUACUUCAAGUUCUGCUGCUGCAGGCAACAUUUGGAAAGGACUCUUUAUCAGUCAGCUCCCCUGGGGUCCGAGUAAACCUUCUUUUCCAAGGAGGCAACCUGUGUCUGGAGUCCUGCUGCUUGCUUCCUUUGCUUUCUGGUUUGGUUAUAUUCUAACUUCUCAUUGCCUCACAACUCUCCUCAACUAGCCUUUUUUUUAUCUAACUAUUUUCUUGUGUGUGUGGCAAGCCCUCAUUAAAUGUUAGCUCUCAUUAUUACCAUUUUGACAAAUGCCACAGCAGAACUGUGCUGAGGAGGUACCUUGGUCAAGAUAAAAGGAACUGAGUGCAGGCUUUUGGUUUGAAAAGAUGAAAAGAGUUACAAAGAUGGAUGGUGGUGUACAGCAAAGUGAUUCAGCUACACCUACCUACAUACAUAAUAUGUGUGUGUUCGCAUAUAUACAUAUACAGAGAGAGAGAAAUAAAAUGUUGUCUGCAACACCAGUAAACAAAAGAUGUCAUCGCCAAGGGCUAUUGCAGCUGAUCCUAAGCCCUAGGAAAAAAAUGCACUGAGUAAUGGUGGAGACAUGAGCCCACUCAGGAGAGAGGCAGCAACACAGAGGCACUUCGGCAGGGGCGGUCCCGGGCAUCACUCCAUCCUGCCAGAGGGCACUUCGCAGAGGCCUCAGCCUGCUGGGAAGAGCAGCUACUCUUCAUUCAUGAAGUCUUGAUUAUCACUGGGGGUACAGCUCAAAGCCAGAGCACGCUGCAGUGUUUGGGGUGGGCUGUGCUGAAAUGGAAGACGAUGUGUGAGAACUGCAAGUUCCCUGGCAGACCAGCCUGCUGCCUUCUCUCUCCUCAGAAAACCUCAGGGGAAGGGCCUGAUGCAAAGCUGUGGCUGCAGCAGCUGCCUCAGAGUUUCCACAUCCUGCUUGGGAGCUCCUGUGAUCAAGCAGAGCAACUUUCAUACCCGGCUUGAAAGCCUGACUCAGUCUCCUCUUUCUCUGUACUUUUUUCAUUCACCCCACGAGCCAGUCAGUUAGUUCUCCAAAACACUUGUUGAAUGAGUAAACAAAGGAAUAAAGAGACCAGUAAAAACAA
Long non-coding RNA from Phacochoerus africanus (Common warthog), 2176 nucleotides. RefSeq lists it as uncharacterized. The record is from RefSeq and is a predicted model, not a curated record. Lineage: Eukaryota; Metazoa; Chordata; Mammalia; Artiodactyla; Suidae. The transcript has 3 exons.